Molecule: ribosomal RNA, 252 nt
Filed under: uncultured bacterium
Lineage: Bacteria
Description: partial 16S ribosomal RNA
Rfam family: Bacterial small subunit ribosomal RNA
Source: RNAcentral
UACGGAGGAUGCGAGCGUUAUCCGGGUUUAUUGGGUUUAAAGGGUGCGUAGGCGGAAUAUCAAGUCAGCGGUAAAAAUUCGGGGCUCAACCCCGUCGUGCCGUUGAAACUGAUGUUCUUGAGUGGGCGAGAAGUAUGCGGAAUGCGUGGUGUAGCGGUGAAAUGCAUAGAUAUCACGCAGAACUCCGAUUGCGAAGGCAGCAUACCGGCGCCCAACUGACGCUGAAGCACGAAAGCGUGGGUAUCGAACAGG